This 76-nucleotide transfer RNA is filed under the name Acidithiobacillus thiooxidans. RNAcentral's name for it is "tRNA-Ala". It matches the Rfam family "tRNA". From Rfam's summary of the family: Transfer RNA (tRNA) molecules are approximately 80 nucleotides in length. Their secondary structure includes four short double-helical elements and three loops (D, anti-codon, and T loops). The record is from RNAcentral. Lineage: Bacteria; Pseudomonadati; Pseudomonadota; Acidithiobacillia; Acidithiobacillales; Acidithiobacillaceae.
GGGCCUUUAGCUCAUCUGGGAGAGCGUCUGCCUUGCAAGCAGAGGGUGGCCGGUUCAAGUCCGGCAAGGUCCACCA